This 575-nucleotide ribosomal RNA is filed under the name uncultured bacterium. RNAcentral describes it as "partial 16S ribosomal RNA". It matches the Rfam family "Bacterial small subunit ribosomal RNA", at positions 355 to 923 of the family's 1533-position model. The record is from RNAcentral.
UGGGGAAUUUUGGACAAUGGGCGAAAGCCUGAUCCAGCAAUGCCGCGUGUGUGAAGAAGGCCUUCGGGUUGUAAAGCACUUUUGUCCGGAAAGAAAUCCUUGGCUCUAAUACAGUCGGGGGAUGACGGUACCGGAAGAAUAAGCACCGGCUAACUACGUGCCAGCAGCCGCGGUAAUACGUAGGGUGCAAGCGUUAAUCGGAAUUACUGGGCGUAAAGCGUGCGCAGGCGGUUUGCUAAGACCGAUGUGAAAUCCCCGGGCUCAACCUGGGAACUGCAUUGGUGACUGGCAGGCUAGAGUAUGGCAGAGGGGGGUAGAAUUCCACGUGUAGCAGUGAAAUGCGUAGAGAUGUGGAGGAAUACCGAUGGCGAAGGCAGCCCCCUGGGCCAAUACUGACGCUCAUGCACGAAAGCGUGGGGAGCAAGCAGGAUUAGAUACCCUGGUAGUCCACGCCCUAAACGAUGUCAACUAGUUGUUGGGGAUUCAUUUCCUUAGUAACGUAGCUAACGCGUGAAGUUGACCGCCUGGGGAGUACGGUCGCAAGAUUAAAACUCAAAUGAAUUGACGGGGUCAUA